This 429-nucleotide ribosomal RNA is filed under the name Chloroflexota bacterium. Its description in RNAcentral is "Chloroflexi bacterium partial 16S ribosomal RNA". It matches the Rfam family "Bacterial small subunit ribosomal RNA", at positions 355 to 776 of the family's 1533-position model. Lineage: Bacteria; Bacillati; Chloroflexota. The record is from RNAcentral.
UGGGGAAUAUUGCACAAUGGGCGCAAGCCUGAUGCAGCCAUGCCGCGUGUAUGAAGAAGGCCUUCGGGUUGUAAAGUACUUUCAGUCGGGAGGAAGGUGGUAAGGUUAAUAACCUUAUCAAUUGACGUUACCGACAGAAGAAGCACCGGCUAACUCCGUGCCAGCAGCCGCGGUAAUACGGAGGGUGCAAGCGUUAAUCGGAAUUACUGGGCGUAAAGCGCACGCAGGCGGUUGAUUGAGUCAGAUGUGAAAUCCCCGGGCUUAACCCGGGAAUUGCAUCUGAUACUGGUCAGCUAGAGUCUUGUAGAGGGGGGUAGAAUUCCAUGUGUAGCGGUGGAAUGCGUAGAGAUGUGGAGGAAUACCGGUGGCGAAGGCGGCCCCCUGGACAAAGACUGACGCUCAGGUGCGAAAGCGUGGGGAGCAAACAGG